Molecule: ribosomal RNA, 480 nt
Filed under: Oscillatoriales cyanobacterium IL-1.4
Lineage: Bacteria; Bacillati; Cyanobacteriota; Cyanophyceae; Oscillatoriales
Description: bacterial SSU rRNA
Rfam family: Bacterial small subunit ribosomal RNA
Source: RNAcentral
AGUGGGGAAUUUUCCGCAAUGGGCGAGAGCCUGACGGAGCAAGACCGCGUGGGGGAAGAAGGCUCUUGGGUUGUAAACCCCCUUUCUCUGGGAAGAAAGUUGUGAAAGCAACCUGACGGUACCAGAGGAAUCAGCAUCGGCUAACUCCGUGCCAGCAGCCGCGGUAAGACGGAGGAUGCAAGCGUUAUCCGGAAUGAUUGGGCGUAAAGCGUCCGCAGGUGGCAGUUCAAGUCUGCUGUCAAAGACCGGGGCUUAACUUCGGAAAGGCAGUGGAAACUGAACAGCUAGAGUAUGGUAGGGGCAGAGGGAAUUCCUGGUGUAGCGGUGAAAUGCGUAGAGAUCAGGAAGAACAUCGGUGGCGAAGGCGCUCUGCUGGACCAUAACUGACACUCAGGGACGAAAGCUAGGGGAGCGAAUGGGAUUAGAUACCCCAGUAGUCCUAGCCGUAAACGAUGGAUACUAGGUGUUGUCUGUAUCGAC